Long non-coding RNA from Trachemys scripta elegans, 4764 nucleotides. RefSeq lists it as uncharacterized. Lineage: Eukaryota; Metazoa; Chordata; Testudines; Emydidae. The transcript has 2 exons. The record is from RefSeq and is a predicted model, not a curated record.
AGCACUCUUAGUUAAAGUAGAUGCCCAUCAAUAGUUACUGCCACCUUACGUUUUUCAUGUUUAUCUUAUUCUAUCUUGAAAAAUGGUUUCAGAAUGUUUACUCAUUGUACCUAUGGUCUGUCUUUUACUAAUAUCCCAUUUCACCCAUGCAUACCAACUAAGCAAGUUCAAAAAGUUUAGUGACCACUCAUGUAUGUUGUAUUGGUGUGAAACUAAAAACACACAGGUACAUCUUGUCCAAGCUGAUAGAAGAUGGGGGAUGAAAUACCAAACUAAGUUACAAGAAAAGGGGAACUGCAUGAUCAGAGAUUUUUCAUCUUCUUAACUGCUAGUUCAAAACCAGCCCCUCUUUCAGAGACCAAAAGUAACCAUCUGAUAAUUGGUUGCCUAUGGCCUGCCUCAUGACUCCUGCUCAAAGCUAGCUUGAACAUUAAAACCCAAGACAUCACUAAAAUUAAAUAUUAGACUGAAACAUUAUUAAGAGCAAGAUUACUAUUAUGAAUUAUUUCUGGUAGCAACUAUGAAGUGCUUGGAACUUUCCAAAUAGAAAAGAGGGCCUGGCCAUAUUCCCCAAGGACCUCACAAUUUAAAGACUGUCUCUCUCUUUGUCUUGAAGAUAGGGGAAGGAUGCAAUACAUAUACAAUUAUCUUUAGAAUGUGUAUACAAAUAUAAUGAAAAUAGGAUAUGUACAAUUAUAUCCAACUACUUCUCAGAGUUGAUAUUAUCAGUGGCAGUUUUCCCAUAAGCAUCAUGAUAGAGGUGGGUCUUCAGGAGACACUUGAAUGUGGCAAGGAUCUGGGUUUUCCAAAUGAACUCUAUAAGGCUAUUCCAUGCAUAGGGAAUAGCAUAGAAGGUACAGAACCAUAGGCAAUGCAGUUGCAGAUAGAUGGGCAGUUGAGUCUGAAGUCACUGGUGCAGUGGAGAGGCCAGGUAGAAGUGAGUGGAUGGUUGAUUUAGAGUAGUACAGCGCAUUAGCUUGGAAAUAGUCUCUUUGUUGCCAAUUUAUAUUUUGAAUGAGGGUAGAGCUAGGGUUUAUAGGCUUAAAGUUUUUAAUAAAAAAAAUAUGGAAGGUGAAAGGAGGAUGUAAGCAAGAAGGGUGAAAGAAAGCCAGUAAUUGGACAAAUGGCAAUUGGUGAUGAUGGUCUCCCCCCAUAUGGCAAGAGAGACAAUGGGCAGCAACAUAGGUACCAGGAGGCCAAUUCUGUGGGCUGUUACAGGAUUAGUAGAAGCCUACUCAGUUAGGGAACUCAGGCAGACCAGAGGCCCUGAGUGCUCCAUACAGCAGAUGCACUUGCUCCUAAGAUUUGGCUGUAGAUCCUUGUGUAUAUCAAAUAUUCAUAAUGAACAAGGAUUUCCCUGUAUUAUAAGUGCUUGGAAGAUAUAGAUCCCCUUGAGAGUGCUAUAAAGUGCAUGAGGUAUACACAUUCUCUGCCUCCUCAAUAGGGCCUUAGAGCAACCCAUGUCAAUAUGCGAGUCAGAACCAGUCCAACAGUGCUAGAGUUUUGUAACAAUAUAACAGCAGCUAUGCCCUUAAACUCCUCCUUUGACAUUUUGCCCUUGAUGAUAUUCAGUGAUAGGUUAAGGGUGGAGACAUGGAGCUACAGAUCUGAGUUCUACUGUCCGGAGGGAAGGCAGGGAGCAGCAUUUCUGUCACAACAGAGACACAACUGAUUGAUGCUGCAACACAAACUACAUCGUGAAUCCAGGCUCCUUAUCAGUUUAGGCUGCUCCUGACUACAUUACUUUCCCAUUUAUUUUCUGAACUAUCCCUAGUUUGUCAGACAGUACAGAUGUGUAUUUUAAUGGGGAAAGUUUGGAGCAUUUUCUUGGUGCUUUUGAGUUUCAAAUGGAAAAUCCGAAAUCUAACAUUUUAAGCUUCUUAUUCAGUACAGGUUACACAGGUAAUGCAUUUAUAAUAUGGCUGAAGAUCAGAUAGCAGUGUUCAAAGGGGAUCUUGAUAAAAAUGUGUGAAACCAUUAUUCUCAGGGAUUUAUAAAAAUGUGAAAACUCGUAUUGUUACCAGACUGAAUGGACAGAUUCUCUAUCCAGGAGAAAAUUAUUUGUUUGCAAUAUUUGAUAAAAUUUAAUUACAUUGCUUGAAAGGCUAGAAGGUUGAACAAGUUAGGCAAAAAUCAUUCUCCUAUUUUCCAUAUGUUUUUUCUGAUGCUUUCUUGUAUUUCUGUUUUUGUUGUUUUUUAAGAGAAUUAAGUAUUUAUUAAAUUUCACAUUUGGAAAACUACCAAAAAGUGUUAGUGGUCACACUACCCAAUCAAAGCAAGAAAAAGCACAUUUAGAAGGGAAUCAGAGAGCAACAAAGUGGCCUUAUCUCAACUGCUUUACUUUAUCCUUUCACACCAAGAAUGUAACUCCUGGUGCCAGCAGAGGACACAUUGGAAGAGCUGACUCUAAUGAGUUAUUGCACCUUGUUGUGUCUUGGUACUGGAGUACACUUGGUAUAUUUCUUCCUAACCUGAUUUUGUCCGUUUGUGUGUGCAUCCAUUAGGAUCACUAUGGGUGAGUACAUUCACCUUCAGUUCACUGAACUGCAAUACGGCACCAUCCUCACAUUCAUAAACGGACAGAGCUGCCAAACCUGAAAGAGAGGAAAGGGUUGGGGAAAACCAAGUUAAGUUUAAAUGGCCAAAUCCUAGGAUAGCAAGAACAGAGCCCAUUUCAAAUAAUCUUACUGUUGUCUUAAUCCUGUUUUUAGACGCCAGCCAAGCACUCUUGUGCUAAAAAGCUCUGGAAUGCCUUGCCAGCACUUUUUUGGGGGAGCCAGAAUGGCGUUCCAGUACUGCUGAUAAUUGUAAAGUAAACCAACGAUAGUGGUUAUUGCUUUCAUUCUUCACCUUGCAGUAUGUGUGGUCGGUGCCUAUGCAGCAAAAGGUGCAUUCCGGAUCUUUUUUUUUAUGUCUUGAGAACUGAUGCUAAUUAUAGUGACUGGCACCCUAUAAAUACCUAAGACAGAUAGAGUCUCAGGUUGUCCUGUUGAAUAAUCUAGUACACUAUACAUGAUGAAUAAUUAUUAAACUAGGGAAUUCAUAGAUAAUAAUGAAAACUUUUUUUUUUUUUGCUUCUGAACAUAGGGGCAACAGAUGUUAAUUGGUGCAGUCAAAGAUGUAUUGAAGGAAUCAUAGCAAUACUGAGAUUAAGUUUGGUGGUUAUGUGAAUGUGGUGGCAUUGUAUCUUACCCAUACUUGAGCAAUUUGGCAAGCUAACUGCCAUUUAAAUCUCCCAGCACACCUGUCAUGUGUCUGCCCACAAAAUUACUAUCUACGGGGCACAGGAACAUACCACACUGUGGGUGGUACUUGCUCCAAGCAAGGCUAACUACUGUGUUGCCCACAUCACUGUGAGGCACCAUUGGUACAGUGCCACUGUAGAUACGAAGUGCUGGUGCAAUAAUCUCUAUGGUGCAAAUUGUCCUCCAUCACUGUCCCACAGAGCACUAGCCACUACAUAGGGGGUCUGUUUGGCCUAGUUCUUCUACCUUGUUGGUUCAGGGUCAAGUUUUCUGGAAGUCCCUUGCCUAUAUAUAUAUAGUACUGCAUACCUUCGAUCUCAUUGUGUGCUGUUUUUUGCCAGCACCCAUAGCUUUGCAGUCAUUGUGUGUUUCAGCAAGCCAAUUUUGGAACAUAUUUCAGAAGGAAAAAGCUAUUGUGCAGGAAUGCUGCCAGCUGGCCAGAGGCAGAUACCCAGGUGCUUGAGAGAUUCAAUUGCAGUUGAACUCUAAUUAGGAAAACUUUGGAUUAUGACUGAGUGAUACAAAUAGAGUGUGUGGCAGGGAAUCACCCACUUGGGGGAAAGACAAUAUCAGGAGAAAAGUAAAAGGGCCUGAGAUAACUGCAGCCAGUCUGGGUAAGGAGGAAAACCUACCCUUUUUCCCAAUGAACUGGACAGUAUUUUUGGCACUCAUCCAUCUACAGAGCCUGAGGUACUUUGGAUGGCACUGUGACACCUAGCACCUGGGCCAUCAGGAGAAGAGAAAGGAAAAAUAUUCAUCAUAGCCCAGUCCAUGACAAGGGAUGUGGGCCAGGACCAGGAGGUGCCUGAGACCGUACAAGGAUUCCAAGACCUCUUUGGAGAAGCUCAAGAUCUGGCUACAGCAGCCAAACAGGUUGGGGGUGGACGUAGGAGACAAAGGAGCACGCAAGAGGGCCCGACUGCACCAAGGCCCAGUGUGGAAAUGCUGGCACAUCACUGAAUGGGACAGCAAAGGCAUCAGGAAUCACAAAUGAUUGAACACUUGACCAUCUCACCGGAAGGAAAUUGAAAUGACUCACAGAGGGUCAUGUAAAGGGACUCUGAUACAAUGUUUAGAUUCAAGGAGGAAAAAGCUGGUCAUUUUUUGGAAAGACAAGACCAAUUUAGGCAAGAGGACAGAAAACCAAUGAUGGAAUGUAUAUGGCAUGAUAGUGAAGUGACGCUGCCGGAUCAAGAGGUCCAUAGAAAACUUCAAAGAGAAUACAUGGAGAAGCAAAGGCAGCUAGCACUAUUCUCCCAGCACCUGUUUGCAUUGUACAACCACCUCAGCAUGAUGCUAUGGUACAGAACUGGCUCAUCCCUGUCUGCUCCCUCUGCUGUGGUCUCCUGGCACUCUGGUGGUGAACAGGACAAAGAACUGCAGUAUGCCAGACAUACAUUUUGUGGCCCUAUAGCCCCGUAAACCAAAUUUUUGUGUGCUUGGGUUAUUUUUCUCUGGUUACUUAUUGGAACUGGCCUGAAUGUUUGUGGUUUUAAAUAAAGUAAACUUGCAUAAUUUA